GCUCGGAUAACUCAGUGGUAGAGUACGGGAUUGCAGCUAAGUGGGUAACCACCAGUAAGAUUAUCCUGAAGUCGUCGGUUCGAUCCCGGCUCCGAGCU
This 98-nucleotide transfer RNA is filed under the name Cordyceps militaris CM01. It matches the Rfam family "tRNA". Rfam says of the family: Transfer RNA (tRNA) molecules are approximately 80 nucleotides in length. Their secondary structure includes four short double-helical elements and three loops (D, anti-codon, and T loops). The record is from Rfam by way of RNAcentral. Lineage: Eukaryota; Fungi; Ascomycota; Sordariomycetes; Hypocreales; Cordycipitaceae.